UACGACCACAUCAUAUUAACACACAUGUUCCCAUACGAUCAUCGAAGUUAAGCAACUUCGAGCCUGGUUAGUAUCUAGAUGGAUGACCGCUUGGGAUUACCAGAUGCU
This is a non-coding RNA of Acanthosepion pharaonis, 108 nucleotides long. NCBI's taxonomy places the organism in Eukaryota, Metazoa, Mollusca, Cephalopoda, Sepiida, Sepiidae. The record is from the annotation of a GenBank genome assembly.